CCAGACUCCUACGGGAGGCAGCAGUGGGGAAUAUUGCACAAUGGGGGGAACCCUGAUGCAGCAAUGCCGCGUGAAGGAUGAAGGUUUUCGGAUUGUAAACUUCUUUUGUACGGGACGAAGAAAGUGACGGUACCGUAAGAAUAAGCCACGGCUAACUACGUGCCAGUAGCCGCGGUAAUACGUAGGUGGCAAGCGUUAUCCGGAUUUACUGGGUGUAAAGGGCGAGUAGGCGGGAUUGCAAGUCAGAUGUGAAAACCAUGGGCUCAACCUGUGGCCUGCAUUUGAAACUGUAGUUCUUGAGUACUGGAGAGGCAGACGGAAUUCCUAGUGUAGCGGUGAAAUGCGUAGAUAUUAGGAGGAACACCAGUGGCGAAGGCGGUCUGCUGGACAGCAACUGACGCUGAGGCGCGAAAGCGUGGGGAGCACACAGGAUUAGAUACCCUGGUAU
This 448-nucleotide ribosomal RNA is filed under the name uncultured bacterium. RNAcentral's name for it is "bacterial SSU rRNA". It matches the Rfam family "Bacterial small subunit ribosomal RNA", at positions 331 to 793 of the family's 1533-position model. The record is from RNAcentral.